RNAcentral lists this unclassified non-coding RNA (546 nucleotides) under Zea mays. RNAcentral describes it as "misc RNA Zm00001eb285490". The record is from RNAcentral. Lineage: Eukaryota; Viridiplantae; Streptophyta; Magnoliopsida; Poales; Poaceae.
UCAGUUCUUUUUUUUUCUCAAUCUUUCCCAGGUCAACAGAGUGGCAAGUACACGAGUAUGUACAUGUACAUAUACGCAUAUUAAUAAGUGACAGAAUAGAAAGGUCUUGGCAGUCUGCAUACCACUGCUAUGAAGCAUUACAUUACCACUCGUUAUUUGUUUCUGGCGCGUCGUACAUGUAAUCUUGCCUUUGCAUACACAGAUCACAUACGCAGAGACGAACAUUCACGCAUAUAUACCAUGCACGUAGAUUGCUACACGACGGGAUCCAUCACACAUUCACAUGUCGACGUUGCAGCUCGGGUCACCAAGAAGCGGCGCCAGGGGCACACCGCCGGCGGCGCCGCCGUUCCCGAUCCCGAUCUUGCGGACGCCGAUGAGGAGGUCGCAGCGGGCGUAGAGCGAGCGCCACCCCCGGUGGAACGGUUCGUGCACGAACCGGACGCGGCCGAGCAGCACCACCCGGAGCGGCAGCACGGCGUUGGCCACGUCCGCCGCCAGCGCCGCCGCGGCGUCGGGCGACACGGGCACGGGCGCCGCGACGCC